Molecule: ribosomal RNA, 379 nt
Filed under: Leptolyngbya sp. CCMEE 6054
Lineage: Bacteria; Bacillati; Cyanobacteriota; Cyanophyceae; Leptolyngbyales; Leptolyngbyaceae
Description: bacterial SSU rRNA
Rfam family: Bacterial small subunit ribosomal RNA
Source: RNAcentral
CGCAAGCCUGACGGAGCAAUACCGCGUGAGGGAGGAAGGUCUGUGGAUUGUAAACCUCUUUUGAUAGGGAAGAAGUUCUGACGGUACCUAUCGAAUCAGCAUCGGCUAACUCCGUGCCAGCAGCCGCGGUAAUACGGAGGAUGCAAGCGUUAUCCGGAAUUAUUGGGCGUAAAGCGUCCGUAGGUGGUUGUUCAAGUCUAUUGUCAAAGCCUGGGGCUUAACCCUGGAGAGGCGGUGGAAACUGGAUAACUAGAGUGCGGUAGGGGCAGAGGGAAUUCCCAGUGUAGCGGUGAAAUGCGUAGAUAUUGGGAAGAACACCGGUGGCGAAAGCGCUCUGCUGGGCCUGCACUGACACUGAGGGACGAAAGCUAGGGGAGCG